RNAcentral lists this ribosomal RNA (269 nucleotides) under uncultured prokaryote. Its description in RNAcentral is "partial 16S ribosomal RNA". It matches the Rfam family "Bacterial small subunit ribosomal RNA", at positions 524 to 792 of the family's 1533-position model. The record is from RNAcentral.
UACGGAGGGAGCGAGCGUUGUCCGGAAUUACUGGGCGUAAAGGGGGUCUAGGUGGAUUCUUAAGUCAAAUGUGAAAUCUCUCGGCUUAACUGAGAAACUGCAUCUGAAACUGGGGAUCUUGAGCACGGUAGAGGAGAGUGGAACUCUCAGUGUAGCGGUGGAAUGCGUAGAUAUUGAGAGGAACACCAUUGGCGAAGGCAGCUCUCUGGACCGUUGCUGACACUAAAGCCCGAAAGCUGGGGUAGCAAACAGGAUUAGAUACCCCGGUA